AGCAGCCGCGGUAAUUCCAGCUCCAAUAGCGUAUAUUAAAGUUGUUGCAGUUAAAAAGCUCGUAGUUGAAUUUCGGGAUUGACGUGAUGGUCGUGCCUUAAGGGGUAUGAACUGUCGCAGUUGAUUUCUCACCUUCUGGAGAAGCUUGAUGUCCUUAAUUGGGUGUCAUGCGGAACCAGGACCUUUACCUUGAAAAAAUUAGAGUGUUUAAAGCAGGCAUUUUGCUCGAGUACAUUAGCAUGGAAUAAUAGAAUAGGACGGCAUGGUUCUAUUUUGUUGGUUUCUAGGAUCACCGUAAUGAUUAAUAGGGAUAGUUGGGGGCAUUAGUAUUCAAUUGUCAGAGGUGAAAUUCUUGGAUUUAUUGAAGACUAACUACUGCGAAAGCAUUUGCCAAGGAUGUUUUCAUUAAUCAAGAACGAAAGUUAGGGGAUCGAAGACGAUCAGAUACCG
RNAcentral lists this ribosomal RNA (450 nucleotides) under uncultured Glomeromycotina. RNAcentral's name for it is "SSU rRNA". It matches the Rfam family "Eukaryotic small subunit ribosomal RNA", at positions 569 to 1017 of the family's 1831-position model. Lineage: Eukaryota; Fungi; Glomeromycota. The record is from RNAcentral.